ACAACAACGAUGACGGAGAAAAGUAGCUUGCUGUUCGCCAUCCAGGGAGAAAACGCCAUAGACUGGGAGCGUUUUUAUGGCCGGCGCAAGUGAAGUUCACCUCCUGAGUUGACACCGGGACCAUCCCGACGUGGGAUGUAAAGGUGUUCCGGCUUUCGGCCGUUAUCGCAAUGAAGUGAACAGCGCAUUUCGGCUGUUAACAAGGGUGGUACCGCGAGCAACAACUCGUCCCUUAC
Geobacillus sp. CAMR12739 is the source of this 236-nucleotide non-coding RNA. The record is from Rfam. NCBI's taxonomy places the organism in Bacteria, Bacillati, Bacillota, Bacilli, Caryophanales, Anoxybacillaceae.